UGGGAACGUACCCUUUGGUUCGGAACAACCCAGGGAAACUUAGGCUAAUACCGGAUAAGUCCGUAAGGAGAAAGAUUUAUCGCCAAGGGAUCGGCCCGCGUCUGAUUAGCUAGUUGGUAGGGUAAUGGCCUACCAAGGCUACGAUCAGUAGCUGGUCUGAGAGGAUGAUCAGCCACAUUGGGACUGAGACACGACCCAAACUCCUACGGGAGGCAG
Molecule: ribosomal RNA, 216 nt
Filed under: uncultured bacterium
Lineage: Bacteria
Description: partial 16S ribosomal RNA
Rfam family: Bacterial small subunit ribosomal RNA
Source: RNAcentral